This 1666-nucleotide long non-coding RNA is filed under the name Manihot esculenta (cassava). RNAcentral describes it as "long non-coding RNA (MESC_LNC008122)". The record is from RNAcentral. Lineage: Eukaryota; Viridiplantae; Streptophyta; Magnoliopsida; Malpighiales; Euphorbiaceae.
AAAUCCACAGUUGACUUACGCAAUCUUCAUCCAAAAGUGGCACUCAGAGGUAAAUCUAAAACACAACAAAGGGAAGGAAGCUUUUCACACUGCUCUGUUACAAAUAGCGGCAUUAGAAGAAGAAACCGAAUCUUAAGCAAGCAGUUAUCUGACCAGCUAGAGAUAAGACACAACUCACCUCCCUUUUCACCAACCAAAUAGGUAAAUCUCAUGGUGAUGCUGGGUAGGGAGCUUGGUCUUGUUUUUAAAAGAGGCAAUGAUAACAAUCUGAUACAAUUUCUUGCUAACCAGAUUUCGAAUGACUUUGCUCUCUGCAAUAAUAAAUGACAUAUGUCGUAGAGCUUGGUAGCCUUUUCUUAAUUUUAUACUUUCCUUUUUUAGCACAUGUUCCUCUUGCUAUUUUUUUAUCUAUGGAAUAGCUGCUUGAAGUUUUUUACCUUUUGGAUUGAAAGGUUUCUCAUCUCCUAUCUGGGCAAAUAUCUAAGAAGCUACCCUAUAAAUAUAAAUAACUUUGUUCUGGACAAUAUCUCUUUCCUUCUUGGCAAUGGAAGAUGUAGUUUCUUUUAGUAUAUGGGUUUCAGGUGCCUAGGUAUGAAAUUUUACAUGGAGAAGGGACUUGCAACUAUGGGAAGUGGAAACAUUCUUCCAAAUAUCAAACUUACUCUAGAGCUUGGAUUUCUAUGCAUUUCUUUGGUCUUUACAGGUAGCAUGCAAUGCUAAGGUGUUCAACUACCAUGACUUUCCAGCAAUAUCACUUUGUGUACUAUUUUUGCAUCGGCUACCCACAUGGUUGAAAGCUUUAUGUGAGGUUUUUCUGACUCAGUCUCUGAACUUAUAAAUCCAUCUACUACAAUUCAAUCCUGGUCAAAUCUCUCAAAGAACAAAAAUCAAGUUGCUUGGAGAAUUCCCUCUUUUUUAGGUAGGCAAAGUAGAUCCUAAUGCAAUUGGAGGACUUCUUAGGGACUGCAUGACUACACUGAAUUGGUUUCAAAAACAUAGCAACCUAAGGAAAUAAUGCACUUUCCUCCCCAUAGAUUUUUGCUGCAAUUUUUAUUUCCAUAUAGAACCUGGCAUCCAUCAUGCUUAAGUAUCUUUUAAGCACACUCUUUGAGAUUUCUUUGCAAUUCAAACAUGUCUAUAUAUUACGGUUUACCGAGAGCUUGAUAGAAAGGAAAAGGUUUUUAUGAUGGUCGACCAAUCUUGUGUUUUUUGUUUUUACAUCAAGUUGAAAGCAGUCAACUACAUGUUAGGUGUGGGCAGUAACAGUCAACUGCUUGGGUGAGUUUUCUCUUAGUGCUUUGCUUUAAAGAUGUAAUCAAACGCCUUGAUUUUUUUAUUAGAUGUAUGCACAUUUUCUUUUCUUUUGUAUCACAUUCCAGGCUCUCUCUUAGCAUACCAUUGUCUAAAACGGAUGUAAGAAUGGUAUAAGAUGGAUGUAAGGAGAUUAUGUUUGGGCUAGAAUCAAUGAUCAUGCUAAGUUUUCCUAGACAUCUUUUAAGGAUAUCUUUUAAUAAAAUUUAUGCUUAUAAAAAAAAUAACUGAGAAGGUGAAACUGAUAACAUCCAUAAACAGGUCUUUCCUUUAAAGCCUCUUCCUUGUUUUUUAUGAAAAUUUUAUUUUCAUGGAAAAAGAUAGGGAGGUUUAACUUCCCAAUAUGAGUAAAUUU